GACGAACGCUGGCGGCGUGCUUAACACAUGCAAGUCGAACGGUGACUCACCUUCGGGUGAUGAUCAGUGGCGAACGGGUGAGUAACACGUGGGCAACCUGCCCCUGACUCUGGGAUAACUCCUCGAAAGAGGUGCUAAUACCGGAUAUUCACGAUUGUUGGCAUCUUCAAUCGUGGAAAGUUUUUCGGUCAGGGAUGGGCCCGCGGCCUAUCAGCUAGUUGGUGGGGUAGCGGCCUACCAAGGCGACGACGGGUAGCCGGCCUGAGAGGGCGACCGGCCACACUGGGACUGAGACACGGCCCAGACUCCUACGGGAGGCAGCAGUGGGGAAUAUUGCGCAAUGGGCGAAAGCCUGACGCGGCAACGCCGCGUGAGGGAUGACGGCCUUCGGGUUGUAAACCUCUUUCAGCAGGGACGAAGCGAAAGUGACUGUACCUGCAGAAGAAGCGCCGGCUAACUACGUGCCAGCAGCCGCCGCAG
Molecule: ribosomal RNA, 480 nt
Filed under: uncultured bacterium
Lineage: Bacteria
Description: partial 16S ribosomal RNA
Rfam family: Bacterial small subunit ribosomal RNA
Source: RNAcentral